Molecule: non-coding RNA, 116 nt
Organism: Podarcis lilfordi (Lilford's wall lizard)
Lineage: Eukaryota; Metazoa; Chordata; Lepidosauria; Squamata; Lacertidae
Source: the annotation of a GenBank genome assembly
UUGAUGGGACAGAUCUCUCUCUCUCUCUCUCUCUCUCUCUCUCUCUCUCUCUCUGUGUGUGUGUGUGUGUGUGUGUGAGAGAGAGAGAGAGAGAGAGAGAGAGUUGGAUAUGGAUA